This 69-nucleotide transfer RNA is filed under the name Loxodonta africana (African savanna elephant). It matches the Rfam family "tRNA". Rfam says of the family: Transfer RNA (tRNA) molecules are approximately 80 nucleotides in length. Their secondary structure includes four short double-helical elements and three loops (D, anti-codon, and T loops). The record is from Rfam by way of RNAcentral. Lineage: Eukaryota; Metazoa; Chordata; Mammalia; Proboscidea; Elephantidae.
GCACUGGUGGUUCAGCGGUAGAGUCCUUGCCUUCCACGCAGGAGACCUAGUUCAAUUCUGGCCAAUGCA